GGGUGCAUAAAAUACAAUAAUAAUUUCAAACAAAUAAUAAUUUAAUCCUAAACAUAUUUCAUCACAGCAUUAACAGUACAACCACAUCAUUCAUGAACAAAUUCAAUACAGAUCACAUGGUACCCCCUUCCCGCAUCACAUGGCCAAAGAGAAUAUUUUUUCCACAUCACACGGCCAAAGAGAAUCAUCACCAAACCAUCAUCUUCCCGCAUCACAUGAUCGAAGCGUGUCAUCACUACCAAACCAUUAUCUGCCUGCAUCACACAACCGAAGAGAAUUCCUUUUCGGCAUCACACGGCCGAAAGAGUCAUCAACACUUAAAUAUCUCCUUUUCCCUGCAUCACAAAACUGAAAAAAAAAAAAAAUUCCUUUGUCACACCGCGAAAACAGUUAUACUUAAAUAAUAUUGUCCAACCACCUUACUUACAAAUUAAUUCUCGUUGUAUUUAUUUCACGUCUAAUUUCAUUCAUAAGUAUUUUCUCACAAAACACAAGAUUCACUGUCAUCAUCAUAAUUAUUUAAUUC
This 526-nucleotide long non-coding RNA is filed under the name Vigna radiata. RNAcentral's name for it is "long non-coding RNA (VRAD_LNC018017)". The record is from RNAcentral. Lineage: Eukaryota; Viridiplantae; Streptophyta; Magnoliopsida; Fabales; Fabaceae.